Molecule: long non-coding RNA, 1172 nt
Organism: Conger conger (European conger)
Lineage: Eukaryota; Metazoa; Chordata; Actinopteri; Anguilliformes; Congridae
Exons: 2
Source: RefSeq, a predicted model, not a curated record
CGUAGUAGUUACAGUAUAUAAAUCAGCGUACAAGAAUUUCGACUACAGGAAUCUGUAGCAGCACAGAAGUCGGUUUUCGGAACAGAAGCUGGCAAAAUGUGUUCAGAACUCGAGUGCGGUAUUUGCUAUAGAAUGUACAAUACAGGUCGUCGUUCUCCCAGGGAACUCAGCUGUGGGCAUACGUUUUGCGAAAGGUGUCUGGUAACUUUGUCCCGGCCUUCGACGCCCCAAAAUAUCGCUCGUCCAGGAGACGUUGCGAUUGUCUGUCCGCUGUGUCGUUGCUCCUCUUCUGUCCUCGGUUCCGAGGGGGUACGGCUGGCGCUUCGGUUAAACGAAGGUGUAUUAGGGCGCAUCUUAGCGGCUCGAGUACUUGAUAGUGGUUCAGCUGAGGAUACCGAGAGUGAGGACGAGGACAACGAGGAUGUUGAAAAAAACAGGGGAGUGCAGGGGAGUACUGCGCCUCCUCGAACAAGAAAAGGCAAGCUCUGGCGAUCUAUGAAGCGGUUCUGUGGAAGACUUACCGGGAAUAGCAACCAAGAUUCGCGGCGUGGCGGAAGUGAAUACAUGACAGAUGGAGAUAUCAGAGACCUCGCUUUGAUGUCCUGCUACAUGAUGUAAACCCCAACAAUGUGCGCGCACGUUGCGCUUUGCAAGAGAAGUGAUCUUAACAUGUUGAAUCGCGGGAUACAUGGCGUCACUGGCUGGAAAGAAUGGACUGAAAAAACGCACUUGCUGGUGACUGAGUAGCCUACAGCCGAUUCUUGCUUUUGGACAGUAUUAAUAUUUGCUCGGUGAAUUCGGCGAGCAGCGACGUAGCUAUUUCUGGUCUCAGUCAUGAGAAGGUAGCCUAGUCUUCUUCGGUUCUUUGGAGAAUUAAAAAUGUCUUAUUAUUGAAGCAGAAGACUAGCUCUCCUAAGAACAACAUUAAGUUAAUUAUUUCAUGUUUUAUAAAAUGUGAACUUGAAGAAGUCUUUUUAAAUCAUUUCUUUUUGUCAUUGAAAUGUGUCAGUAGCCUAGACUGUUGUUUGAAUUCUGUUUGAUCUUAUAUGUUUUGAGUUAUUAUUAUUAUUAUUAUUAUUAUUAUUAUUAUUAUUAUUAUUUAUUUUCAAAGAUAUGCAUUCUUUUUUGAAGUGAUUUUUGUAAUAAAAAUUCUCAGUGUUGUUUCUUAAUAA